UACAGAGGAGCCAAGCGUUGUCCGGAUUGACUGGGCGUAAAGCGCACGCAGGCGGUUGCGCGCGUGGGGUGUGAAAUCUGGCCGCUUAACGGCCAGGGGCCAUCCCAUACGGCGCGACUGGAGUGAUGCAGAGGUCGAUGGAAUUGCCGGUGUAGUGGUGAAAUGCGUAGAGAUCGGCAGGAACACCCAGGGGGAAACCAGUCGACUGGGCAUCUACUGACGCUGAGGUGCGAGAGCGUGGGGAGCGAACCGG
Molecule: ribosomal RNA, 253 nt
Filed under: uncultured bacterium
Lineage: Bacteria
Description: partial 16S ribosomal RNA
Rfam family: Bacterial small subunit ribosomal RNA
Source: RNAcentral